This 206-nucleotide ribosomal RNA is filed under the name uncultured bacterium. RNAcentral describes it as "partial 16S ribosomal RNA". It matches the Rfam family "Bacterial small subunit ribosomal RNA", at positions 568 to 774 of the family's 1533-position model. The record is from RNAcentral.
UGCGUAGGCGGCGGGGUAAGUUUGAUGUGAAAUCCCGGGGCUCAACCCUGGAAUUGCAUUGAAUACUACCUUGCUAGAGUACCGGAGAGGAAACUGGAAUUUACGGUGUAGCAGUGAAAUGCGUAGAGAUCGUAAGGAAGACCAGUGGCGAAGGCGAGUUUCUGGCGGUAACUGACGCUGAGGCACGAAGGCCAGGGGAGCAAACG